UGGGGCAAAAUAGAAAAACACUA
Molecule: small nuclear RNA, 23 nt
Filed under: Arabidopsis thaliana (thale cress)
Lineage: Eukaryota; Viridiplantae; Streptophyta; Magnoliopsida; Brassicales; Brassicaceae
Description: snRNA_02816
Source: RNAcentral